UCAAACUUGGUCAUUUAGAGGAAGUAAAAGUCGUAACAAGGUUUCCGUAGGUGAACCUGCGGAAGGAUCAUUAAAGGUUUAGGGUACUCUGUGCCCAAACUUCAACCCUAUGUCUUUGUUCAACUGUUUCUUUGCCGGUUUCGGCCGGCAGAAGACUUCUCAAACCCAUUAUAAAUCUGCCUCUGAAUUCAAUUAAAAAAAUAAUUAAAACUUUCAACAACGGAUCUCUUGGUUCUGGCAUCGAUGAAGAACGCAGC
RNAcentral lists this unclassified non-coding RNA (257 nucleotides) under uncultured fungus. RNAcentral's name for it is "partial contains small subunit ribosomal RNA, internal transcribed spacer 1, and 5.8S ribosomal RNA". The stretch from base 1 to 73 matches the Rfam family "Eukaryotic small subunit ribosomal RNA", at positions 1759 to 1831 of the family's 1831-position model. Lineage: Eukaryota; Fungi. The record is from RNAcentral.